This 772-nucleotide ribosomal RNA is filed under the name uncultured bacterium. RNAcentral's name for it is "bacterial SSU rRNA". It matches the Rfam family "Bacterial small subunit ribosomal RNA", at positions 8 to 796 of the family's 1533-position model. The record is from RNAcentral.
AGAGUUUGAUCCUGGCUCAGGACGAACGCUGGCGRCGUGCCUAACACAUGCAAGUCGAGCRGAGACGAUAGCAAUAUUGUCUUAGCGGCGGACGGGUGAGUAACACGUGGGCAACCUGCCUUCUUCCGGGGGAUAACAUUGGGAAACCGGUGCUAAUACCGCAUGAAAUCGCGAUACCGCAUGGUGAUGCGAUCAAAGGAGCAAUCCGGAGGAAGAGGGGCCCGCGUCCGAUUAGAUCGUUGGUGGGGUAACGGCCUACCAAGUCUGCGAUCGGUAGCCGGACUGAGAGGUCGAACGGCCACAUUGGGACUGAGAUACGGCCCAGACUCCUACGGGGGGCAGCAGUGGGGAAUAUUGCACAAUGGGGGAAACCCUGAUGCAGCAACGCCGCGUGAAGGAUGAAGGUUUUCGGAUUGUAAACUUCUUUGACCGGGGACGAAACAAAUGACGGUACCCGGAAAACAAGCCACGGCUAACUACGUGCCAGCAGCCGCGGUAAUACGUAGGUGGCGAGCGUUGUCCGGAAUUACUGGGUGUAAAGGGCGUGUAGGCGGGUCUGCAAGUCAGAUGUGAAAUUCCGGGGCUUAACUCCGGCGCUGCAUUUGAAACUGCGGAUCUUGAGUGUUGGAUAGGGAAGUGGAAUUCCUAGUGUAGCGGUGAAAUGCGUAGAUAUUAGGAGGAACACCRGUGGCGAAGGCGRCUKCCUGGACMRMWAYUGACGCUGAGRCGCGAAAGCGUGGGKAGCAAACAGGAUUAGAUACCCUGGUAGUCC